This 450-nucleotide ribosomal RNA is filed under the name uncultured bacterium. Its description in RNAcentral is "partial 16S ribosomal RNA". It matches the Rfam family "Bacterial small subunit ribosomal RNA", at positions 354 to 796 of the family's 1533-position model. The record is from RNAcentral.
GUGGGGAAUUUUGGACAAUGGGGGCAACCCUGAUCCAGCCAUCCCGCGUGUGCGAUGAAGGCCUUCGGGUUGUAAAGCACUUUUGGCAGGAAAGAAAUCGCACGGGAUAAUACCUCGUGUGGAUGACGGUACCUGCAGAAUAAGCACCGGCUAACUACGUGCCAGCAGCCGCGGUAAUACGUAGGGUGCAAGCGUUAAUCGGAAUUACUGGGCGUAAAGCGUGCGCAGGCGGUUCGGAAAGAAAGAUGUGAAAUCCCAGGGCUUAACCUUGGAACUGCAUUUUUAACUACCGGGCUAGAGUGUGUCAGAGGGGGGUGGAAUUCCGCGUGUAGCAGUGAAAUGCGUAGAUAUGCGGAGGAACACCGAUGGCGAAGGCAGCCCCCUGGGAUAACACUGACGCUCAUGCACGAAAGCGUGGGGAGCAAACAGGAUUAGAAACCCUAGUAGUCC